UACGGAGGAUGCAAGCGUUAUCCGGAAUGACUGGGCGUAAAGGGUCCGCAGGUGGCUAUGUAAGUCUGCUGUCAAAGAAUGAGGCUUAACCUCAUCAAGGCAGUGGAAACUACAUAGCUAGAGUACGGUCGGGGUAGAAGGAAUUCCUGGUGUAGCGGUGAAAUGCGUAGAGAUCAGGAAGAACACCGGUGGCGAAAGCGGUUCUCUGGGCCGUAACUGAAGCUGAGGAGCGAAAGCGUGGGGAGCGAACAAG
This 253-nucleotide ribosomal RNA is filed under the name uncultured bacterium. RNAcentral's name for it is "partial 16S ribosomal RNA". It matches the Rfam family "Bacterial small subunit ribosomal RNA", at positions 524 to 776 of the family's 1533-position model. The record is from RNAcentral.